RNAcentral lists this unclassified non-coding RNA (394 nucleotides) under soil metagenome. RNAcentral describes it as "partial contains 5.8S ribosomal RNA, internal transcribed spacer 2, and large subunit ribosomal RNA". The stretch from base 1 to 122 matches the Rfam family "5.8S ribosomal RNA", at positions 35 to 154 of the family's 154-position model. The record is from RNAcentral.
GAUGAAGAACGUAGCGAAAUGCGAUACUUGGUGUGAAUUGCAGAAUCCCGUGAACCAUCGAGUCUUUGAACGCAAGUUGCGCCCGAAGCCAUCAGGUUGAGGGCACGUCUGCCUGGGCGUCACAUAUCGUUGCCCAAUGCCUAUUGCAGUGCAAUAGGAAUUUCUAGGGCGAAUGAUGGCCUCCCGUGAGCGUUGUUGCCUCGCGGUUGGUUGAAAAUCGAGUCCUUGAUAGGGUGUGCCAUGGUAGAUGGUGGUCGAGUUAGAACGAUACCGAUCAUGUGCAUGCUCCCCAAAAUAUGGCCUCUAUGACCCACACGCGUCUUUUGACGCUCAUGACGAGACCUCAGGUCAGGCGGGGCUACCCGCUGAAUUUAAGCAUAUCAAUAGCGGAGGA